UAGGGAAUCUUCCACAAUGGACGCAAGUCUGAUGGAGCAACGCCGCGUGAGUGAAGAAGGUUUUCGGAUCGUAAAGCUCUGUUGUUGGUGAAGAAGGAUAGAGGCAGUAACUGGUCUUUAUUUGACGGUAAUCAACCAGAAAGUCACGGCUAACUACGUGCCAGCAGCCGCGGUAAUACGUAGGUGGCAAGCGUUGUCCGGAUUUAUUGGGCGUAAAGCGAGCGCAGGCGGAAUGAUAAGUCUGAUGUGAAAGCCCACGGCUCAACCGUGGAACUGCAUCGGAAACUGUCAUUCUAGAGUGCAGAAGAGGAGAGUGGAAUUCCAUGUGUAGCGGUGGAAUGCGUAGAUAUAUGGAAGAACACCAGUGGCGAAGGCGGCUCUCUGGUCUGCAACUGACGCUGAGGCUCGAAAGCAUGGGUAGCGAACAGG
This 429-nucleotide ribosomal RNA is filed under the name bacterium. RNAcentral's name for it is "partial 16S ribosomal RNA". It matches the Rfam family "Bacterial small subunit ribosomal RNA", at positions 355 to 776 of the family's 1533-position model. The record is from RNAcentral.